UGCUUUCUGUUUAUAGAUAAUUGGCCAAUGAUUAAGUUUGUUCUAUGCUGUUAGCUUGAUAUUUCUGCACUGUCUUCGCUUCUGCUAAAUUUUGGACGUUUUUCUUCAAUUUUACGUCUUAGUUUUUGAGUUUUUUUUCGUGUUUUUGUUUUGUUUGGAUUGUCGUCCGGUGGAGUUUUAUCUGUCAUGUAAUUGUUGAAACUUGAAAUCGCCUAAUGUUUUAAGAGUUUUUUGUUUUUGGUUUUAGACUGGAAGGCUAUGUAUCUGCAUGUAUGAAUUUUGCGUAGAGUUCGUAUUCUGGAAUUUGUGCGGGAGGAGGAAAAUGUGAGAUGGAUGUUUGCAAAUGAACUGAAAUGGAGUAGAAUUUGAUAUAUUUUUUAAAAAAUUUUAUUGCUCCGUUUCGUAUAGUAUAAUAAUUGUAUACGCAUAGGCAUACGUAUGACUGAGUAGGCUUGGUGAGCAUGCAUGUAUCUAGUAGAUGUCUGCGUGUGGUGUAUGUAUAAAUUAUUUGUGUAAAGAGACGUUUUAGCAGAGAAUUCAAGUAUUAAUCCGCCUUUGUUUUGUGAUUGUGAAGAUUGAAGAGUACAGUGUGAGGUUUGGAAAUAAGCCUGGUGUGCUGUUAUGUUAGGAUAGUGAAAUGGGGAGUAAUUUGAACUUCGGUAAUGAGCCGCCUGGAAGUGGUGGUGGGGGAAGGUUUCCGGGGAAUUUUGGGCUAACAAGGCAGUCUUCAGUCUACUCAUUAACUUUUGAUGAGUUCCAGAGCAGUAUGGGUGGGAUUGGGAAGGAUUUUGGGUCAAUGAACAUGGAUGAGUUGCUGAAGAAUAUUUGGAGCGCAGAGGAGAAUCAGACGACCAUGGGAUCCAGCAGUGGAGCACAAGAAGGGGGUGUGCCUGGGCCUGGGGGGUAUCUGCAGAGACAAGGGUCCUUGACACUUCCAAGGACUCUGAGCCAGAAGACUGUUGAUGAGGUCUGGAGGGAUAUGUCUAAGGUGUAUGAUAUUGGGAAGGAUGGAAGUGCUCCUCUUGGGAGCUCAAAUAUUCCUCAGAGGCAGCCGACGUUAGGGGAGAUAACGCUUGAGGAGUUCUUGGUUAGAGCAGGAGUUGUGAGAGAGGAGGCACAGUUGGCUGGAAAGGCUGCUGCUGAGAGUGCUGCUCUUUUUGGCGAUUUAACGCACACUCUGAAUAAUUCUGGACUUGGAUUUGGAUUUCAGCAAGCUGGACAGAACACGGGAUUGAUGGGUAGCAGGACCAAUGAAAGUAGGAGUGUAUUAGAAAUCCAACCUGCUAGUAUGCCACUGAAUGUCAACCGCGCCAGAUCUGCCCAGCCUCAGCUUGGGACAGCACACUUGCAGCAGCAACCACAGCAGAAACAACACCAGCAACCUCUAUUCCCAAAGCAACCUGUUUUGCCAUAUGCUGUUCCCAUGGCAAUCCCAACAACUAGCCCAUUAGGUAGUAAUGGAAUAAGGGGUGGGACUGUGGGAGCUUCUGAUCCAGCGAUGAAUGGUAGUAAUGCUGUAAUGAAUGGUGGUUUUGUUCAAAGCCCUGCAUUGCAUGGUGGUAGGAUGGGUAUGGUAGGUUUGGGGGCUGGAGGGGUUAGUGUUGCUACAGGAUCCCCUGCUGUUUCGUCAGAUGGGUUUGCAAAGAGUAACGGUGAUACAUCUUCCGUGUCACCAGUUCCUUUUGUGUUCAAUGGCAGUCUGCGUGGCAGGAAAUGUAGUGCGAUUGAGAAGGUUGUUGAAAGAAGGCAGAGGAGAAUGAUCAAAAAUAGAGAGUCAGCUGCAAGAUCAAGGGCUCGGAAGCAGCAUGGGUGGUAAUGUGUAUGCUGUAACAUGGCCUUGUGUGAAUGGGUUUGAGUGGUUAAGAUUCAUGAGAAGUUUUAAGCUUCUGAUUUGUAGGAAAAGGCUUACACCAUGGAAUUAGAAGCAGAAGUUGCAAAACUAAAAGAAGAAAACGAAGAACUACAGAAGAAACAGACUGAGAUUAUGGAAAUGCA
This is an RNA transcript of Ipomoea nil (Japanese morning glory), 1995 nucleotides long. It is a transcript of the gene named ABSCISIC ACID-INSENSITIVE 5-like protein 5, with no coding region annotated. The record is from RefSeq and is a predicted model, not a curated record. The transcript has 4 exons. Lineage: Eukaryota; Viridiplantae; Streptophyta; Magnoliopsida; Solanales; Convolvulaceae.